Non-coding RNA from Telopea speciosissima, 85 nucleotides. NCBI's taxonomy places the organism in Eukaryota, Viridiplantae, Streptophyta, Magnoliopsida, Proteales, Proteaceae. The record is from the annotation of a RefSeq genome assembly.
GGAAAAGUGGCUGAGUCUGGUUUAUAGCGUAAUACUUGAAAUAUUAAGGGUUUUUCCCGCGCGGGUUCGAAUCCUGCCUUUUCCU